Molecule: ribosomal RNA, 2282 nt
Filed under: human gut metagenome
Description: bacterial LSU rRNA
Rfam family: Bacterial large subunit ribosomal RNA
Source: RNAcentral
UCAAGCUACUAAGGGCAUACGGUGGAUGCCUAGGCGCCAGGAGCCGAAGAAGGACGCGGUAAGCUGCGAAAAGCCACGGGGAACUGCAAGCGAGUAUUGAUCCGUGGAUAUCCGAAUGGGGAAACCCGGCCAUCGUAAUGGAUGGUCAUCCGCAAGGAAGGGAACCCGGGGAACUGAAACAUCUAAGUACCCGGAGGAAAAGAAAUCAAACGAGAUGCCCACAGUAGCGGCGAGCGAAGAGGGCAGAGCCCAAACCUGUAAGCUACGGCUUAUGGGGGUUGAGGACUGACGUAAUUAAGGCCAGGCUUAGCUGAACUACCUGGGAAGGUAGGCGAUAGAAGGUAAGAGCCCUGUAAGCGAAAGGCAGAGCCUUAAGGUCAGUAUCCAGAGUACCACGGAGCACGAGGAAUUCUGUGGGAAGCAGGGGGGACCACCCUCCAAGGCUAAAGACUAACUGGCGACCGAUAGCGCAUAGUACCGUGAGGGAAAGGUGAAAAGAACCCCGGGAGGGGAGUGAAAUAGUACCUGAAACCGUAUGUCUACAAGCAGUCGGAGCGAAAGCGACGGCGUGCCUAUUGAAGAAUGAACCAACGAGUUAUCUGCACUAGCGAGGUUAAGUGGAAGACACGGAGCCGUAGCGAAAGCGAGUCUGAAAAGGGCGGCGAGUUAGUGUAGGUAGACCCGAAACCGCAGUGAUCUACCCAUGUCCAGGUUGAAGCGCAGGUAAAAAUGCGUGGAGGACCGAACCGGUGAGCGUUGAAAAGCUUUCGGAUGAGAUGUGGGUAGGGGUGAAAUUCCAAUCGAACGCGGAGAUAGCUGGUUCUCCCCGAAAUAGCUUUAGGGCUAGCCUCAGGUAGUAAGUAUAGGCGGUAGAGCACUGAUCGGGCUAGGGGCCAUAAAGGUUACCGAACCCUGUCAAACUCCGAAUGGAUAUACUGCAGAGCCUGGGAGUCAGACUACGAGUGAUAAGAUCCGUGGUCAAAAGGGAAACAGCCCAGACCACCGGCUAAGGUCCCAAAUGCCGUACUAAGUGGAAAAGGAUGUGGGGAUUCAUAAACAACCAGGAUGUUGGCUCAGAAGCAGCCACCAUUUAAAGAGUGCGUAAUAGCUCACUGGUCGAGAGUCCCUGCGCCGAAAAUUUCCGGGGCUAAAGUACGGAACCGAAGCCGUGGCUGUGUACUUAGGUACACGGGGUAGGGGAGCGUUGCCACAGGGGUGAAGCUGGUCUGGAAGGACUGGUGGACUUGUGGGAAGUGAGAAUGUUGGUAUGAGUAGCGAAAAGAAAGGUGAGAAUCCUUUCCACCGAAAGCAUAAGGAUUCCUGAGCAACGAUCGUCGUCUCAGGGUAAGUCGGGACCUAAUCCGAGGCAAAGAGCGUAGGAGAUGGACAACAGGUUGAUAUUCCUGUACCGGCAGCAAUUGUUUGAGCGAAGGAGUGACACAGAAGGGCAGGCAGGCGCGAGACUGGAUUGUCGCGUGCAAGCGUGUAGGGUAGUGUACAGGCAAAUCCGUACACUGAGAGCCUGAGGCGUUACGCGGAGCGAGCAGAGAUGCGAGCGAAGCUGCUGAUCCCACACUGUCGAGAAAAGCUUCUAGUGAGAGAGCUGCCGCCCGUACCGUAAACCGACACAGGUAUGCGGGGAGAGAAUCCUAAGGUGCGCGGGAGAACCCUCGUUAAGGAACUCGGCAAAAUGUACCCGUAACUUCGGGAUAAGGGUAGCCGUCUUGGUGAAGGAGCAUGCCUCUGGAGCUGAAGGCGGUCGCAGAGAAGAGGCCCAAGCGACUGUUUACCACAAACACAGGUGCCUGCUAAAGCGAAAGCUGACGUAUAGGUGCUGACACCUGCCCAGUGCUGGAAGGUUAAGGAAGGAUGUCCGGGCAACCAAAGCAUUCGACCGAAGCCCCAGUGAACGGCGGCCGUAACUAUAACGGUCCUAAGGUAGCGAAAUUCCUUGUCGGGUAAGUUCCGACCCGCACGAAAGGUGUAACGAUUUGGGCACUGUCUCAACGAGGGACCCGGUGAAAUUGAAAUACCUGUGAAGAUGCAGGUUACCCGCGACUGGACAGAAAGACCCCAUGGAGCUUUACUGUAACCUGACAUUGGGUUUUGUUGUAUUACGUACAGGAUAGGUGGGAGGCUUGGAAGGCUGGACGCUAGUCUGGCUGGAGCCGGCGUUGGGAUACCACCCUUGAUACAACGGAAUUCUAACCGAGAGAGUAACGAAAUCCGGGACAGUGUCAGGCGGGCAGUUUGACUGGGGCGGUCGCCUCCGAAAGAGUAAC